This is a long non-coding RNA of Carassius gibelio (silver crucian carp), 5461 nucleotides long. RefSeq lists it as uncharacterized. NCBI's taxonomy places the organism in Eukaryota, Metazoa, Chordata, Actinopteri, Cypriniformes, Cyprinidae. The record is from RefSeq and is a predicted model, not a curated record. The transcript has 2 exons.
ACCACUAGAUCCAGCAACUUUGAUCGGAGGGUGGCAGUACAAGGCAGGGCAGUAAGAGGAAAAGCGCAAGAAAAAAAGUAUUUCAAUGACUAUUGACUCAUUUCUUCUGAUGACCUGUAGUACAAGGAAUGGAGAAAACACAAGUCAGUGAAAUAAACCUAAUCUUUUUGCAGUAGCAGACAAAAACAACAUGACACAUUUCAUCUUUAUAUCACUAACAGACCACAAGAAAGUGUUUUGUCCUAAAGCACUGUUCUUCAGACUUUCACUUAGGCCUACUGACUCAGACAUCUUUAAAGUACAGUCAUCGUCUCAGUUUAUACAAAUUGCUAAAUGUGUUCUAUCAAAUGAGAAUCUGUUUGGUAUGUAUAUGAUUUGCAGGCAUUAAAUCAGAAGCUCAUAUCAUGAACAUAAUGGAUACUGAAAAAAAAUGCAGAUGUCUGAAUCAGUGUAAUGGUAAUGAAGUCGAGAUUUUAAGAUUUGCUGAAUCAGUAUUAAUUAUGUUUUUGUUAUCUUGCCAAAAUUUAAUUAUCCAUUUCAAUAUAAAUUUUCUGCAAUGAAACGAUGUGUUAUUGAUUUAAAAAAAUGCUACAUAAAUGUGAAUUGAAUAUCAAAGAUGUUUAGAUUUCUUUUUCGUUCAUAGAAAAUACACAUUCAGAAAAUAUUUUUACUAGUGAAAUAUUAAAGGUCUAUUAUUUAGUUUUUGUGGCUCUCAAAAAAUCUAUAAGAAUUUAAAUGCAUUUAAACAGGGUGGUUCAUGAUAUUAUUUGAACAUUUAUGCAAAAAUAUUUCACACACUUAGACCUUUUCAUUUAAAUAAAUAAAAUAAACACUAUCCCAGUCCUUCUAUUAUUUCUUUCAUUUCACUCAGCAGCUAUACACACUCACUCUCAAACUCUUUCUCACAGCUUCCCACUCAGAAUGCUCUGAGAACAUCUGUAAAAAAGGCCAGAGAUCAGAGUUUGUGUCCAAACCUCAGGUUAACAGCAUUGUGGUGGGUCCUGGUGUUCAGUAUCUCAGCAGGGUGAGGUGAUUUAAUCAAGCAAACAACCAUCCAAAACAUAAAGGGAUUUUUUUUAGGGUUAUUAAUGCAAUAUGCGAUUGAUGGCCAUCUAAAUCAUAUGUAAAUGUAAUAUAUUUUUGUAAAACAGCUACCUUAUUUUUGCAGGUGAAAGCUGUCUGUCCUAUAACAGCCUUCAUCUGCAAAAAUAAGGUAGCUGUUUUACAAAAUAUAUUACAUUUACAUAUAAUUGAGAUGACCUGCCAUUCUUUAGAGGUUUUCUAGAAGUUCCCUCAGCUGCCAAAGUUUUUACAGUUUUUUUUGUUGGUUUAUAUAUCAUUUGUAAUGUGGAGCUUGCACGUACAGUAUCACUUUUUGUUUAGCAACCGAUUCACACAUGCAGUGAUGUUGCAAAUAUUCCCCAGUCAUUACCCACAUUACACAAGCUACGCAAGGAAAGUAUUUCAAACCACACUUUGGCAAAAAAUAAAUUCAUAAUUAUAUCAAUAAAAUCAUAAAAAUCAUAAAAAUGCAAUUCAUAUAGACAUAAACUUAAACAUGUUUUCAACUUCUGAAUUAAGAUUUUAUAUAUACAUAACGCAAUAGCUUAUUGUAUGGCUAAUCGGAGCUGUGGUAGCUUGUUUUUUUUUUUCAAGCUAAAAUAAUUUUGUAAAAGCCACAUACAGAAUUCAUAUAGACAAAGACUUAAACAUGUUUUCAACUUCUGAAUUAAAAUGUUAUAUAUAUAUAUAUAUAUAUAUAUUUAUUAUUUAUUUAUUAUUUUUUUUAUUUUUAAUGUGUUUUCAAAUAUAUAUCUUUUUAGUAUUUUAAAUAUCCUUAUUUGUCACUCACUUAUGCAUGAAUCACUUGGUGGUGCUGUAAUCUACACAGAUGAGUCUGAGUGAUUGCAUCAAUGUAAAGCCCCUUUCACACUGCACUUUGGUCCUGGAAAAUUGCUGGGAUAUUGCCGGAUUGCCUUCUGUGGGAACUUAAACACUUCCCGGGAUUGAUCCCGAGCUGGAGACCUAGUAACAUUGCCGGGUUCAGUCCUGGUAUGAGCUCUGUGUGAACAAAAGCCAGAACCAAUACCGUUGUUAUGAGAAAUCGAAUCUCUCAUCGAAAUCUGGUCCGCUUAGGACCAAGACAGUAACGUUAGCUGUUUUAAAUCCCUGAUCAAAAGUUGUCACGAUAGCUUGUUGUAUGGCUAAUCGGAGCUGUGGUACUGUAGCUUGUUUUGUUUUUUUUCAAGCUAAAAUAAUUUUGUUAAAGUUAACGUGCCUACACUGAUAUAUUAUAAAUCAGUGCAUGCCUGGCAUUUUCCACUACAAUAAAUUAGAUGUCACAUCCUGGUGUCAAGUGUCAUUACGACCUUUACAGGUUGUGUGAGAACAAAGUGGCAAGCUCUCGCUCUCUCUCGUGAAGCCCAUACGGAAGUGACUUAAACUGUAAUUCAUCGACUGGCUGCUAGAGGCUGGCUGCAGUGUCCGUGACAUCACCCUUACAUUUCCGAAGAGCGUUUUUGAAGACAAAAGUAGACAGAGCACCGUCGCCAUCUUAACAUUGCGUCACCUCUUGUCACUCCCGGAUAAUUAAAAAUGAUAAUUAUAAAUCACCUUAAAUAGCUGCAUUCACCUUGAAAUGUGUGAAAUGUUUGUGAAUUUGACAUUUGGUAGUUUAUAAUCGGAUGCACAUCAUAAAAGGCGAAAUCUGGCCAGUACAGCUGCCACACAUCAACACACAUCAGCAAAGCAUGAUUUGUACUUCUCACGCUGCCAAAUUUUUCAUGUCCCUCAUCAAAAAAAAAACAUCUCUAAUAAGGUCUGUAAUGAGAUCCUGAUAGAGCCAUUGCUUCAACAUAGAACUGUUCACCCUCUGGCUCUGAAUACAGUCUGGUUUUGACUAACUCUCUCAUUAGUUAACUCAGAAAAACAGCUGUAAAGUCACCCCGAAGAGAUCCUGGUUCUAAUUCUGGGUUUUACUGUCUUGUACAAGGUGGACAGAAUACAUGCCAGUAUGAAAAGAUUUAUCUCUGGUUAAAUUUGACCAACUUUUAAGUCAAUCAUUAAAAAAAAAAAAAAAAUUGUCAAAUAAUUCAUGUCAUUGUUUAUUGGUGAAUAAAUAGCUUAUUAUUUGUACAUUUUAUUACAAGCACAAAGCUCUUAUCAGAUUGACACAGGCACUGCAUUUUAUCUAAAACAACUUACAGUGCAGUGAAGAUAUAUAUGUUUUUGGGAAUUGAACCCUUGACCUUGGCGUUGCUAUUGCCAUGUGUUACCAGCUGAACUACUGCAAUAACAAGACACAGCACACCUUGUGUAUGUACUUGAUCUCUUCUCAGUGUGGUUCUUGUUACUUGGGUCCAGACCAAAGCACAGAUGACUGAUUCCUGGAUGCGAGGGCUCCAGCAGCCCGUGGGAUCAGUUUUGGAAUGCUGCCACCACUUGUGAAGGUUCCAGAGUCAUGUUUAUGAGAUUAAGUACCAAACUGCACUCCCAGCUCAACGGAUGACCCCAACAUCCCACCUUGAUAUCUUUCAUGAGAAUUUAGAUGCCAUUUGGAAAGGCUAUGUGUGAAUGAACAUGUUUGUAUGUUCAUAUGUGUGUAUUUAUUUGCACAAGGAUGCACAACUAGAAGCAGCUGCUGGCGCCCCUUGCUUUCAACCCACUGUGCUUGCCCCAAAUCACCCUCCAGAGAGCACCUCAGAGACAUGGUUCAUCAGAGGCUGCUGACUGAUCCAGAACAGCUCCCAUGAGACACACAGCACCAGUUUGUCUUCAUAUGUCCGAGCUGGUUGUUGUUGAAACUCCUUUGGCCCAAGUUAAAUAAAAAAGUGACAACAGUUGAAGAAUGUUCAACUUCACCUCCUGAAAAACACAGCGCUCAUCACUGUCACUUUUUCGUCAGUCAGCCAUCCAAUCACAACCGCUACAUCCUCCUUGUACAACAGCAACAACAACAGAACAAAGUCAUUUUAAACAAGGGCCAGAGCAAGUACAUUAUACUCUGUCAACAUUUUUAUAUUCAUAUAGAAACUCUCUACGAAAUCAGAUAUCAGUUACACUUCUGCAGAUAUUCUGUUUCAUAGCAGUCAAAGCAUCUUAACUAAAAAAACAACAACGCUGUGCCUCAGAAGCACUCUCGAGCACUCACAGCUAGGGUCCCAUCUGGCUUAAAAACAUAUAUUGCACCAGAGCCUGAGCCCAGUGAAGAGUCCGACCAGGUGCGUGAGCUGACAACAGCACAGAUAGCAAAGGCAGUACCUGUUGAGAUCGAGGGCUGGGAGGAAAGCCCCGUCCACAGCCCCACCAUUGUGGCUGAGAUAUAUAUGGCCUCUGGUUCAAAAAACUUAAGGACAUAUUUGAGGAGUAUAUAAUAGACUUUUUUGAAGAACUUCUUCUCAGUUGUAGUGUUGAUCCACCUCGGGCCUCCCUGUCACCAGCUCUGCCUAGGCAUGAGGAUGCCCUGUCUCUGCCUCCAGUCUCCGAGUCCAGGACUCCACCUCAGCCCUCUGACCCUUCGGCUCCAUUAAAGUUUUUUUUUUUUUUUUUUUUUUUUUACAAUCAUUUACAACAUAGCUUAGGUUUUAACAUCAGAAAAACAACAUCAGUUUGAGCCCAGCCCUGCCUGUGUUCUGGGGUCUUCAGGAGCUGAAUCUCUUGGUGAAUGGCCAGCACCUCCUCAGUGACUCGGGGGGCAAUGCGGUGACAGUGGAACGAGGUAUGUGUCAAACACUCUGGAGACCACUCUGUAUGACGUACCACCAGCAGACAGAAGAUAAACACCAGGGUCUGGAUUGUGGCACCUCAUCACUAUUGCCAUUCACUUCUCAGAAGAUCCAGCAACAAAAAUUGUUUAGCGCUGACAACGUAAUUAGUAGAAGAAAUAUUAAGGUACUUUAGCAAACUACUUUUAGUAACUACUAAUACCACAUUGGGGAAAAAAACUACUAGUCAUAUUUAAAAGCUUAGCUAAAGGGAUAGUUCACCCAAAAAUCCAAACCUGGAACAACUCAAGGGUGAGUAAAUGAUUACAGAACUUUCGUUUUUGGCUGAAUUAUCCUUUAAGUUAAAAUUAUCUUGAUUACUCUAAUAUUGCUCUAAUAUUUUUUCUCUAAUAUUUCUAUAAAUAUAUAAAAUUCCUGCAUUUAAAGUUGUAAUCCUACAAAGGAUGCAGAAAAACAGUGUUACUUACCUGGCCUCGGUUUUGGCUAAGCCUUGAGGUACAUCACCGUUUCCUCCAUUAUAAUGUAAAACAUAAAAAACAAAACUGAGCCAUUCAUUUUAGCUUUUUGGCUUCCUUGUCUUGUGACCCAGCUUUCAUGAGUUAAUUAACUCAUUAGUUUCCUUUGUUCGCCUUGUGUACUGUACUUAAAUGCUGGGUUUGUCCGUCUACACUUGUGUAAGGUUGUUAAAAGUGGGUGUUUCCUGAGUUUAUGUAAUUAAAGUUCUUUCUUGAAGUAUU